RNAcentral lists this ribosomal RNA (337 nucleotides) under uncultured bacterium. RNAcentral's name for it is "bacterial SSU rRNA". It matches the Rfam family "Bacterial small subunit ribosomal RNA", at positions 335 to 660 of the family's 1533-position model. The record is from RNAcentral.
ACUCCUACGGGAGGCAGCAGUGGGGAAUAUUGCACAAUGGGGGAAAGCUCCUGAUGCAGCCAUGCCGCGUGUGUGAAGAAGGGCCUUCGGGUUGAUAAAGCACUUUCAGUAGGGAGGAAGGUAGUGUAGUUAACACCUGCAUUAUUUGACGUUACCUACAGAAGAAGCACCGGCUAACUCCGUGCCAGCAGCCGCGGUAAUACGGAGGGUGCGAGCGUUAAUCGGAAUUACUGGGCGUAAAGCGCAUGCAGGCGGCCUGUUAAGUCAGAUGUGAAAGCCCGGGGCUUAACCUCGGAAUUGCAUUUGAAACUGGCAGGCUAGAGUCUUGUAGAGGGGU